GACGAACGCUGGCGGCGUGCCUAAUACAUGCAAGUAGAACGCUGAAGAGAGGAGCUUGCUCUUCUUGGAUGAGUUGCGAACGGGUGAGUAACGCGUAGGUAACCUGCCUUGUAGCGGGGGAUAACUAUUGGAAACGAUAGCUAAUACCGCAUAACAAUGGCUGACACAUGUCGUUUAUUUGAAAGGGGCAAUUGCUCCACUACAAGAUGGACCUGCGUUGUAUUAGCUAGUAGGUGAGGUAAUGGCCCACCUAGGCGACGAUACAUAGCCGACCUGAGAGGGUGAUCGGCCACAAUGGGACUGAGACACGGCCCAGACUCCUACGGGGGGCAGCAGUAGGGAAUCUUCGGCAAUGGGGGCAACGCUGACCGAGCAACGCCGCGUGAGUGAAGGAGGUUUUCGGGUCGUAAAGCUCUGUUGUAAGUCAAGGACGGGGGUGAGAGUAGAAAGUGCACGCUGUGACGGUAGCUUACCAGAAAGGGACGGCUAACUACGUG
Molecule: ribosomal RNA, 497 nt
Filed under: uncultured bacterium
Lineage: Bacteria
Description: partial 16S ribosomal RNA
Rfam family: Bacterial small subunit ribosomal RNA
Source: RNAcentral